Molecule: ribosomal RNA, 599 nt
Filed under: Flavobacterium algicola
Lineage: Bacteria; Pseudomonadati; Bacteroidota; Flavobacteriia; Flavobacteriales; Flavobacteriaceae
Description: bacterial SSU rRNA
Rfam family: Bacterial small subunit ribosomal RNA
Source: RNAcentral
AAUUAGAGACCGGCGCACGGGUGCGUAACGCGUAUGUAAUCUACCUUUCACAGAGGGAUAGCCCAGAGAAAUUUGGAUUAAUACCUCAUAGUAUUAUAGAAUGGCAUCAUUUUAUAAUUAAAGUCACAACGGUGAAAGAUGAGCAUGCGUCCCAUUAGUUAGUUGGUAAGGUAACGGCUUACCAAGACUACGAUGGGUAGGGGUCCUGAGAGGGAGAUCCCCCACACUGGUACUGAGACACGGACCAGACUCCUACGGGAGGCAGCAGUGAGGAAUAUUGGACAAUGGGCGCAAGCCUGAUCCAGCCAUGCCGCGUGCAGGAUGAAGCAUCUAUGGUGUGUAAACUGCUUUUAUACGAGAAGAAACAACUCUACGUGUAGAGUCUUGACGGUAUCGUAAGAAUAAGGACCGGCUAACUCCGUGCCAGCAGCCGCGGUAAUACGGAGGGUCCAAGCGUUAUCCGGAAUCAUUGGGUUUAAAGGGUCCGUAGGCGGCCUUAUAAGUCAGUGGUGAAAUCUCCCGGCUCAACCGGGAAAUGGCCAUUGAUACUGUAGGGCUUGAAUUAUUAGGAAGUAACUAGAAUAUGUAGUGUAGCGGUG